RNAcentral lists this ribosomal RNA (261 nucleotides) under uncultured archaeon. Its description in RNAcentral is "partial 16S ribosomal RNA". It matches the Rfam family "Archaeal small subunit ribosomal RNA", at positions 748 to 1009 of the family's 1478-position model. The record is from RNAcentral.
CAGCCGUAAACUAUGCGCGUUAGGUGUAUCGGUGACCACGAGUCACCGAGGUGCCGAAGGGAAACCGUGAAACGUGCCGCCUGGGAAGUACGGUCGCAAGGCUGAAACUUAAAGGAGUUGGCGGGGGAGCACCACAACAGGUGGAGCCUGCGGUUUAAUUGGACUCAACGCCGGAAAUCUCACCGGAUAAGACAGCAGAAUGAUUGCCGGGCUGAAGACUCUGCAUGACUAGCUGAGAGGAGGUGCAUGGCGUAGACGUCU